AGUCGAGCGGACCGACGGGAGCUUGCUCCCUUAGGUCAGCGGCGGACGGGUGAGUAACACGUGGGUAACCUGCCUGUAAGACUGGGAUAACUCCGGGAAACCGGGGCUAAUACCGGAUGCUUGAUUGAACCGCAUGGUUCAAUCAUAAAAGGUGGCUUUUAGCUACCACUUACAGAUGGACCCGCGGCGCAUUAGCUAGUUGGUGAGGUAACGGCUCACCAAGGCGACGAUGCGUAGCCGACCUGAGAGGGUGAUCGGCCACACUGGGACUGAGACACGGCCCAGACUCCUACGGGAGGCAGCAGUAGGGAAUCUUCCGCAAUGGACGAAAGUCUGACGGAACAACGCCGCGUGAGUGAUGAAGGUUUUCGGAUCGUAAAACUCUGUUGUUAGGGAAGAACAAGUACCGUUCGAAUAGGGCGGUACCUUGACGGUACCUAACCAGAAAGCCACGGCUAACUACGUGCCAGCAGCCGCGGUAAUACGUAAGUGGCAAGCGUUGUCCGGAAUUAUUGGGCGUAAAGCGCGCGCAGCGGUUUCUUAAGUCUGAUGUGAAAGCCCCCGGCUCAACCGGGGAGGGUCAUUGGAAACUGGGGAACUUGAGUGCAGAAGAGGAGAGUGGAAUUCCACGUGUAGCGGUGAAAUGCGUAGAGAUGUGGAGAACACCCAGUGGCGAAAGCGACUCCUCUGGUCUGUAACUGACCGCUGAAGCCGCGAAAGCGUGGGGAGCGAACAGAAUUAGAUAACCCUGGUAGUCCACCGCCGUAAACGAUGAAUGCUAAAUGGUUAAAGGUUUCCGCCCUUAUGCUGCAGCAAACGCCAUUAAGCCACUCCGCCUGGGGAGAUACCGUCCGCCAAGAACUGAAACCUCCAAUGAAUUUGACCGGGGCCCCCGCCACAGCCGUUGAGACAAUGUGUUUAUAAUUCCAAGCCACACGCGAAGAACCUUAGCCAGGUCCUGAACAUUCCCCUCUGACCAACCAUAAAGAUACGGCUUCCCCC
Molecule: ribosomal RNA, 1002 nt
Filed under: uncultured bacterium
Lineage: Bacteria
Description: bacterial SSU rRNA
Rfam family: Bacterial small subunit ribosomal RNA
Source: RNAcentral